AGAAUCAACGCUGGCGGCGUGCCUAACACAUGCAAGUCGAACGAGAAAGUGGGAGCAAUCCCAUUAGUAAAGUGGCGCACGGGUGAGUAACACGUGACUAACCUACCCUUGAGUGGGGGAUAACCUAGGGAAACCUGGGCUAAUACCGCAUAAUACCCACGGGUCAAAGCAGCAAUGCGCUUGGAGAGGAGUUCGCGGCAGAUUAGUUAGUUGGCGGGGUAAUGGCCCACCAAGACGAUGAUCUGUAUCCGGCCUGAGAGGGCGCACGGACACACUGGAACUGAAACACGGUCCAGACUCCUACGGGAGGCAGCAGUGGGGAAUUUUGCGCAAUGGGGGAAACCCUGACGCAGCAACGCCGCGUGGAGGAUGAAGCCCCUUGGGGUGUAAACUCCUUCGAUCGGGAAGAUAAUGACGGUACCGAUAUAAGAGCCCCGGCUAACUUCGCGCCAGCAGCCGC
Molecule: ribosomal RNA, 460 nt
Filed under: uncultured bacterium
Lineage: Bacteria
Description: SSU rRNA
Rfam family: Bacterial small subunit ribosomal RNA
Source: RNAcentral